CUAGCAGCUCACCCUCUCCUGCAGCCACCAGAGAGGCAGACUGGUAGGUUCGGCGGAGGGCUAAGGAAGGACUGUCCUGCAAAAACGGAAAUGAAUUGGAAGCGAGAUCGGCUGCGGGGGAGAGAGAAUGGUUUUAAUCCACAUCACUUCAAGCCUGCGGCUGAAUACAAUAUUGCACUCCAGUGAAUGCCCAUGAUCUGUGGAACUGGACCUCACUGGGAAUCUAACUGCCUGCUCCACCCCGACAUAAAAAAGCAUGAUUCAGCACCAAAAAAGGGAUUAGGUAACAACGGAUGUUUCUUGCUCAGCGCAUUUCUCCCUCCUGGGGCCUAGGUGGGGUCAGAGCUUCCCCAACUAAGACCGGUUUCACCUGCUUCUGCAAGCCCUACAGGACUGACAGGGUGCAGACAGUGGGCUCAGUUCUGUUCUGGCAUGGGCACCAUCCACAGCGCUGCAGACCCAGGUCCACUUGGUUUUACACCUGUGCAAACCCACUGAAAUCCGUGAAGUUUUACAGGUGUCACUGGCCUUGUCCAGCUUACAAGCUCCUUAUAACAGAGGGCAGCACAUGAGUAGAAGUGAGUCCAGCUCAAUCCCCUGAUGCCCAGAAUGGCUGCAGGGUGGCAGCUAAAGGGGAGGAGCAGAAACAGCCUUGUAAGAUGAGUUCCUCUGAUCUGGCAUUACUGAGACCCCCUGCCUAUACACAUAUAGAAGCCCAAGAUGCCCCUGGUACUGAAUCUACAAAUAUUCAGAGCAAAUCCCUGCUUUGAACAGCAGCAGAACUGCUUUUCUCUUGGCUCCUCUCCUGGGUACAGCUGCGAUCCAAUAACAAAUGGAUGUCUCAACGGCUCUCUGAAAUGAAAAUCAGCUCCGUUCUUCUCUUUAGCUCAGCAGUUAUCUCACUUCCAGCUGCAGAGCAUCAGAAGCCCCCUCCCUGGGGACGGAAAGGUCCCUUGUUCACACAGAAGCAACUCCAUGGCAGAGGAUAGAUUUUUAUUUUCCUUGCAACAAAAAUUAAUCAUCAAGGCAGCCUUUGAGCUUCCUGGGGAUGUGGCUAAUGACAGUUCUGCCAGCUGAUGACACCAGGAUGGUGGUUACUUAUCUGAGCUAACUUCUCUCUUUAACACCUAAAUAAGACUAGUGGAGCCCUGGCCCUUGCUUGACAGUCAGAGGAGCUUGGCCACAGACUUCAGCAGGGGCAGGAGCUCACCCAGUUUACAAAGUGACUCUUUUCUUAUGAAUUUGCUUACUGAAAUCCAGCAAGGAAUGCAAAUGACUGGCCAUUUGUGCUUAUGGAGGCUGCUGUGACACGUUUAACAUGUACAGUGGCAUUAAAUCUUGUAUUCAAGUCUGGGAAGUGACAUCUGGCCUGCCUAGGAGCUUCUGACAACUCCAGUCUAACAUCCUGGGACCAGAUACUCUGCUGAUAUAGUUCAGCACUGACAACAAAAUGUGGGUUUCAAGAGAAGUUUUCUAAUUUGCAUCAGCUGAUGGUCUGUGUAGCGAGAAGGGAAGAACAACAGGUUGCUGUGAGCUGCAAUGUUGCUGUGAGCUGUUUAAACAGCUAAUAUGGCCUACGCAGAGGUGGCUGCUUUUCAUUGAUGAAAAACCGAUUUUCUUAUCUACUGCAUUGCUCUUGUAAAGUGAUUUUGGUUGAAAGAGGCUGUAAAUAAGUAUUUCUUAGCCAAAAUCGAGUGCCUCUGCUAUUUUGCCAUCUAUUGACUCCUCUGUGAAAUCCUAUGAAAUAUGAACUUUCAUUUCUACCC
Molecule: long non-coding RNA, 1766 nt
Organism: Alligator sinensis (Chinese alligator)
Lineage: Eukaryota; Metazoa; Chordata; Crocodylia; Alligatoridae
Exons: 3
Source: RefSeq, a predicted model, not a curated record